UGUGCCAGCCGCCGCGGUAAUACGGAGGGUGCAAGCGUUAAUCGGAAUUACUGGGCGUAAAGCGCACGCAGGCGGUUUGUUAAGUCAGAUGUGAAAUCCCCGGGCUCAACCUGGGAACUGCAUCUGAUACUGGCAAGCUUGAGUCUCGUAGAGGGGGGUAGAAUUCCAGGUGUAGCGGUGAAAUGCGUAGAGAUCUGGAGGAAUACCGGUGGCGAAGGCGGCCCCCUGGACGAAGACUGACGCUCAGGUGCGAAAGCGUG
Molecule: ribosomal RNA, 260 nt
Filed under: uncultured Enterobacterales bacterium
Lineage: Bacteria; Pseudomonadati; Pseudomonadota; Gammaproteobacteria; Enterobacterales
Description: partial 16S ribosomal RNA
Rfam family: Bacterial small subunit ribosomal RNA
Source: RNAcentral